This 87-nucleotide microRNA precursor is filed under the name Oryza meridionalis. Its description in RNAcentral is "pre miRNA MIR1846". The stretch from base 7 to 79 matches the Rfam family "MIR1846 microRNA precursor family", at positions 20 to 92 of the family's 110-position model. The record is from RNAcentral. Lineage: Eukaryota; Viridiplantae; Streptophyta; Magnoliopsida; Poales; Poaceae.
CCUCCCAGCCGGAUCUCCCAGUGAGGAGGCUGGGGCCGCCGGAUCCGGUGACCCCAUUCUCCUCGCCGGCGGAUCCGGCACCCUAGA